Molecule: ribosomal RNA, 484 nt
Filed under: uncultured bacterium
Lineage: Bacteria
Description: partial 16S ribosomal RNA
Rfam family: Bacterial small subunit ribosomal RNA
Source: RNAcentral
AUUGAACGCUGGCGGCAUGCCUAACACAUGCAAGUCGAGCGGAUGAACGGAGCUUGUUCCUGGCUUCCGCGGCCGACGGGUGAGUAAUGCCUACGAAUCUGCCUUGCAGUUCGGAAUAAGGUCCGUUAACGGGCGCUAAUAUCGCACCCGACCUUAUGUUGCAACUGGGGGAUCUUCGGACCUCACGCUAUCUGAUGAGCCUAGGUCGGAUUAGCUAGUUGGUGGGGUAAAGGCCUACCAAGGCGACGAUCCGUAACUGGUCUGAGAGGAUGAUCAGUCACACUGGAACUGAGACACGGUCCAGACUCCUACGGGAGGCAGCAGUGGGGAAUAUUGGGCAAUGGGCGAAAGCCUGAUCCAGCAAAGCCGCGUGAGUGAAGAAGGUCUUCGGAUUGUAAAGCACUGUAAGUUGGGAGGAAGGAAAGUAAGUUAAUACCUUGCUGUAUUGACGGUACCAACAGAAUAAGCACCGGCUAACUUCGUG